This 497-nucleotide ribosomal RNA is filed under the name uncultured bacterium. RNAcentral's name for it is "partial 16S ribosomal RNA". It matches the Rfam family "Bacterial small subunit ribosomal RNA", at positions 28 to 507 of the family's 1533-position model. The record is from RNAcentral.
GAUGAACGCUGGCGGCGUGCCUAAUACAUGCAAGUCGAGCGAACGGACGAGAAGCUUGCUUCUCUGAUGUUAGCGGCGGACGGGUGAGUAACACGUGGAUAACCUACCUAUAAGACUGGGAUAACUUCGGGAAACCGGAGCUAAUACCGGAUAAUAUUUUGAACCGCAUGGUUCAAAAGUGAAAGACGGUCUUGCUGUCACUUAUAGAUGGAUCCGCGCUGCAUUAGCUAGUUGGUAAGGUAACGGCUUACCAAGGCAACGAAGCAUAGCCGACCUGAGAGGGUGGCCGCCCACACGGGAACUGGACCACGGUCAAGACUCCUACGGGAGGCGGCAGUAGGGACUCUUCCGCAAUGGGGGAAAGCCUGACGGAGCACCGCCGCGUGAGUAAUGAAGGUCUUGGGAUCGUAAAACUCUGUUAUUAGGGAAAAACAUAUGUGUAAGUAACUGUGCACAUCUUGACGGUACCUAAUAAGAAAGCCACGGCUAACUACGUG